RNAcentral lists this ribosomal RNA (465 nucleotides) under uncultured freshwater bacterium LCK-02. RNAcentral's name for it is "bacterial SSU rRNA". It matches the Rfam family "Bacterial small subunit ribosomal RNA", at positions 29 to 508 of the family's 1533-position model. The record is from RNAcentral.
AGUGAACGCUGGCGGCGUGCUUAACACAUGCAAGUCGAACGAUGAAGCUUCUAGCUUGCUAGAAGUGGAUUAGUGGCGCACGGGUGAGGAAUAUAUAGCUAAUGUGCCCCUUAGAGGGGGAUAACAGUUGGAAACGACUGCUAAUACCCCAUACUCCUUCUUGUUAUAAGACAAGUCGGGAAAGUUUUUUCGCUAAGGGAUCGGGCUAUACGGUAUCAGCUUGUUGGUGAGGUAAUGGCUCACCAAGGCUAUGACGCCUAUCUGGUCUGAGAGGAUGAUCAGACACACUGGAACUGAGACACGGUCCAGACUCCUACGGGAGGCAGCAGUGGGGAAUAUUGCACAAUGGAGGAAACUCUGAUGCAGCAACGCCGCGUGGAGGAUGACACAUUUCGGUGCGUAAACUCCUUUUAUGUGAGAAGAUAAUGACGGUAUCACAUGAAUAAGCACCGGCUAACUCCGUGC